ACGAACGCUGGCGGCGUGCUUUACACAUGCAAGUCGAGCGAUGAGAUCCCUUCGGGGAUGGAUUAGCGGCGAACGGGUGAGGAACACGUGAAGAAUCUACCUUCAACACUGGGAUAACUCCGGGAAACCGGGGCUAAUACCGGAUAUGAGAACCGCAGGCAUCUGCGGCUCUGGAAAGUUUUUCGGUUGAAGAUGACUUCGCGGCCUAUCAGCUUGUUGGUGAGGUAAUGGCUCACCAAGGCGACGACGGGUAGCCGGCCUGAGAGGGCGACCGGCCACACUGGGACUGAGACACGGCCCAGACUCCUACGGGAGGCAGCAGUGGGGAAUAUUGGGCAAUGGAGGAAACUCUGACCCAGCGACGCCGCGUGCGGGAUGAAGGCCUUCGGGUUGUAAACCGCUUUCAGCAGGGAAGAAGCGAAAGUGACGGUACCUGCAGAAGAAGCACCGGCUAACUAUGU
RNAcentral lists this ribosomal RNA (461 nucleotides) under uncultured bacterium. RNAcentral's name for it is "bacterial SSU rRNA". It matches the Rfam family "Bacterial small subunit ribosomal RNA", at positions 29 to 506 of the family's 1533-position model. The record is from RNAcentral.